Molecule: RNA transcript, 2656 nt
Organism: Lagopus muta (rock ptarmigan)
Lineage: Eukaryota; Metazoa; Chordata; Aves; Galliformes; Phasianidae
Gene name: alpha-2-macroglobulin-like protein 1
Exons: 12
Source: RefSeq, a predicted model, not a curated record
AAGAUCUUGGCAGCUGUCUGUCCCAGCUCAAGCAAUGGGAGCACCAGCACUCCUCUUAGCUUUGACUCUAUUCCUAGUUGCAGAUGAAGCAAGUCUGGAACCGUGAGACCAUCUUGUUUUGAUUUUGGAGGGGGGCUUUGUGUAUGGGUCUGCACUGAAAGAUAUAGUGCUGAGAUGCUGCACUGUUUAGUAUCACGGAGCUGCAUGGGGGAAAUCUUGUUAUUAGGGAGACUGAGCAGAAGCAACUCCUACUGGAGUCUCAAACACUGCUGCAGGUAAAAACCCUGGCAUUUGCUACUGAAGAAGCUGUUCUAGCAAUGUAGUACUGCACCACACCAAAAACCUAUAGAAGCCACAAAUCUUCCCUUUGUUCAUCCUGCGCUGGCAGAGGUGAAAUUUGAAGUGAAACUGAAGUUUUGGUCACUGAAUUUUCAGUAUAAUUUCUCACACCACCAUUUUGUUUCUGUGUACUUGCUAUUGAGCAGUUCUGUCCUGGCUAACGGAAAGAUGACAAACAUGUAAGAGGCAUGUUGCCGUUUCUGGAUAUGGAAAGAUAUGGAAAGAGAGCUGCAUGACAAUUCUGCAGCCCUUAGACAUUUCUGACCUCUCGUUUCUACCUGUUCAUGAAAGCAGCAGAAAUGGAUUCUGGUCUGUCUCAACUUCUGGAUGUUUCUUAAAAAAAAAAUUCCCCCCCCCCCCACUCCUCUCUUCUAGUCAGUACAUGGUGGUGUUCCCUGCUGUCAUUCACCGUUUCCAAGAGGAGCAGCUCUGUAUUCACCUCAGCUCCGUCACUGAGGAUGUCCACCUGGCUGUCACCUUGGAGUUGGAAACCCAGAGUCAAACAGUGGUGGAAAAGGACGUGGAGAAGCCAGGCACUUUUGAGUGCAUCGGUUUCAAGGUGCCAAAGUUAAAUUCGUCAGAAACAGUUGCUUCAGCUACACAAUCAGAAGAGGUGAUUUUUCUUCAUGUCCUGAUACACAGCAGUGACAAUGUGCUCUUUGAGGGUUACAAGAAGGUUCUGGUCAAGCCCCAGGAAAGCAUAAUUCUGAUAGAGACAGACAAGGCCUUCUACAAACCUGGAGAAACAGUGAAAUUUCGAAUCAUCAACCUUGAUGAUGACCUUAUGAUCAUUAAAAAUGAGUAUCUUCAGAUAUGGUUGCAGGAUCCUGAAAAUAAUCGCAUUGCUGAAUGGCUGAAUGUGAAGUCAAGACAUGGCAUUGUGGAUCUAUCCUUUCCCCUGGCCUCUGAAGCAGCCCUGGGAAAAUAUACCAUUUCAGUGCAACAAGACAUGGCUCAGAAAACAUUCAGUGUUAAUGAAUAUGAGCUGACAAAGACUGAAUUAAAGUUUGAGCACCCUCCCUUCAUCACAGAGGAUGAGUAAUUUCAGCUGAAACUAUGUGGUGUACCUAUGGAAAGCCUGCUCAAGGGAAAAUAGAUAUUACUUUUAUCACAUUGUUGCAGUAUGAAAUGCAGGAUUUCUCAGAUUCUUCUGAGAUGAGGAAGCAACAGAGCUGGACAGACAAAAAUGGUUGUGCUGAAUUUACAGUAAAGACAAAGGCUCUGGAAUUAAAUGAAUCUGACAACUACAUAAUUGUGAUAGGAGAAAUGGAGGAAAUUGGAACAGGAGCACAGACUAAAGAUUUUUCUGGAAUUUCUAUUGUGACAAGAAUGAAAUCUAUAGAGUUUAUCAAUCUCCAACCAUUCUACAAACAUGGACUACCAUACACAGGGCAGAUGUUCUGCCACAGUAAUAACUCUGCCCUCUGAAAUGAAAUGGUCUACCUAACAAUUGAUGUAAAUGAUGAGAAGACACACCUGUCAUUCCUCACAGAUGAGGAAGGGAAAGUCCACUUCUCAUUGAAUACCACCAGCUGAAACAGCUCACUUGUUUCAUUGAAGGGCACCUACUACCUUGAAAAUUACACCAUGGACAAUUUUGAGCAGAACUCAGGGACUGGGGAGAGCUUCCACUGGCUGAAACCUUUCUACUCUGAGAGCAACAGCUUCCUUGAGAUCAAGGCCAGGAAUGAUGUGAUGCCCUCUGAUCAAGAGCAGAAUGUGCAAGUGGACUAUAUCCUUAAUCAGAAUAAACUCAGCUCUGGAACAGACCACAUUGAUUUCUACUAUCUAGCAAGCAAAGAAGACAUCUGAAUCUCAGGGCAAGACCAUACUGCUAUUUUGUCCUUUUCACAAUAACAUGUAGAUACUAUUAGGAAAUGUUAAACUUAUCUGAGGCCAGUAAAACUGCUUUGUUUUGCCCAGUGCUCUUCAACAUCUUUAUCAAUGACUUAGACAAUGAAAUUGAGUGCACCCUCAGCAAGUAUGCAGAUGACACCAAGCUAAGCAAUGCAGUCAGUAUGUUGGAGGGAAGGGAAGCCAUCCAUUUUUAAGGUAAAAAAAAAUUGUAUCUUAGUAACAUGAAGAUCAGAUUCCACUGGUGCUUAAUAGCAGCUGCUGGUGCUAGACUCUGGCUACAUAAGUAGCCACUUCUCAUGGCCUAACAAACACCUCUGAAUUUCCUUGCCAGAGAUGCUAUCAACAUCUUUGCUGAUGAGAUUUUUAGGGCACGUCCUACCAGAAGAGCUUCUGUGACAGUAACCGUCAAACAUUUCCUUCUCUCCCCUUUCAUUCUGUUUACAUUCUCAUGCUUGCAGAA